RNAcentral lists this ribosomal RNA (459 nucleotides) under uncultured bacterium. RNAcentral describes it as "partial 16S ribosomal RNA". It matches the Rfam family "Bacterial small subunit ribosomal RNA", at positions 338 to 795 of the family's 1533-position model. The record is from RNAcentral.
CCUACGGGAGGCAGCAGUGAGGAAUAUUGGUCAAUGGUCGGGAGACUGAACCAGCCAAGCCGCGUGAGGGAUGAAGGUACAGAGUAUCGUAAACCUCUUUUGUCAGGGAACAAAGGCGGGGACGUGUCCCCGGAUGAGUGUACCUGAAGAAAAAGCAUCGGCAAACUCCGUGCCAGCAGCCGCGGUAAUACGGAGGAUGCGAGCGUUAUCCGGAUUUAUUGGGUUUAAGGGGUGCGCAGGCGGUCUGUUAAGUCAGCGGUCAAAGCCCGGGGCUCAACCCCGGCCCGCCGUUGAAACUGGCAGUCGCGAGUUGGAGAGAAGUAUGCGGAAUGCGCGGUGUAGCGGUGAAAUGCAUAGAUAUCGCGCAGAACUCCGAUUGCGAAGGCAGCAUGCCGGCUCCACACUGACGCUGAGGCACGAAAGCGUGGGUAUCGAACAGGAUUAGAUACCCCUGUAGUC